Molecule: long non-coding RNA, 378 nt
Filed under: Bos taurus (domestic cattle)
Lineage: Eukaryota; Metazoa; Chordata; Mammalia; Artiodactyla; Bovidae
Description: long non-coding RNA NONBTAT007644
Source: RNAcentral
UGCUUAAACCAGCAGAGCUCAAAAUGCAUUUUUAUAUUUAUCCAAACUUUUGAAAUUUAGUGUUUUCUUGAAUUAUAGGACUGCUAUUUUGUCAAUGUAAUAUAAAUAAAUGUGAACAGAUAUUCCUCAGUAGUAACACGAGCAUCUAAAUAUCUCAAUAUAACUUAACACACAUAAAUAUUUCAGUGCAACCUAAUACGUAGAUAAUUUUGAGAAAUUUGCAGCACCUAAAAAUUUACCUUUUCAGAAUCAAAGUCUCUCAGAAGCUGUUUUACUCCAAAAUAAAAUUGAAGUGCUGUUAUAAGGAAAAAAAUGUAUCACUUAUGCUAAAAGGCUAUAAAGCAUAUUUAAAUUAUGUGAAAUAAUUUUUAUCAUAAA